AGUACCACUGGUACUGAGAAGUAAUAGAAAGAAAUAAGCAGUAGUACUUUAAGAUUAUUCACUAUAAUUUCACUCACCUAUGUGCAGUUAUGGUAUACAUCUGUUUCUUGAACUGCACUAAUUUAUGUUCACCCUGUUACUGUAGGGUUGUGACAGUAGGAACAACAGUUUAAUAAAUCAUUGCACUCUGCUUUCGGGGGACCACUGCAUCUUGGUAAGAGAUGUUAAACUUCUUUAAGGAGCAUCAUUGCAGAGCGCCGCGACGCAUUUUUAUACGUGUAGGUAAACCUAUCUGUACCUGCAUCACAUGCAGAGAACAAAAUGAUUCAAAUGUUGAGAGGUCAAAAUGUUGCUGGAUAGCUCCAUCCAUCAGCUAAUGCAUGCAGAUCCAGAAAUGUUUGCUGAGCAGAAUUCUUCAUCCAGACAGGAGUCAGACCUCCGCCCUAUUUGGCCAGAAGAACAUAAAGCCAUUCCCUGGACUAUGGAGGAGAUUUCAGUUGUUUCUGUGCAACACAGAGAAUAUGAGAAAAGGCAGAGCUACAGGUCAGUUGUCUUGCAGAAAAUAUGUGCCCAGCCUAUGACACGUGACACUAAAAAGCUGCCCGUGGAGAACAUUAUGACCUACAAAUUGUCAUCUCAUUCAGUCAUCCUAACGAUGACCGUUAUUAGUUUCUUUUUAGGUGCACUUCGUUGAGCCUGGAGUCUAAAGGUGUGACUGCUCUCUGCAAAGAGUUGGUUUCUGCUGGGACAGUCUGCACUGUUGAUAUUGCUGUAAUAGAGUAAGUAUAUAACAUCAAAGGUAAGCACAGAUUCUAUUUCAACUUCUCAGAACUGUCACAGAGCAAAAGCUAAUUUAAUUUUGCUAGUCACUGAAAGUGACUCACCACAAGCAACUAACUUUGGCAAAUCAAUGAAUAAACAGGCAAAAACCAAGCUUUGUGUGUUACAGUUAGAAAACCAUUUGCUUAAGUUAUUUCAGGAACAUAAGGAAAAUAUAAAGAUAACAAAUUUCAGAUUUACUUUAGCUAUCAAGCCUUUUGGACAGGGUAGAUGAAUAGCGCUGGGUAUGUCGCUUGUCCAAGAGGUUUGCCUACACAAUCUGUCAGUGUUUCACUUUGCUUUAUUACGUUAACUAUUAUCUACUAAUACCCAGAAAGCCCAGAGAAUUAUAGCCCCCCUGUGCUGGGCAAUGUCAAGCAAAUGUAUACUGUAGGAGACAGUCUGCAUUUCAGAGAGACUGUGCUCUGCACAGGCACUGUGCUGGAGGAACAAAACAAAGCCCUCCUAUCCUGCUCACAGUCCAAGUGACGCAGCUCAGGGCCAGGAAGUGUCCAUAGUUAUACAGCUGUGUUCCUGCCAUGUCCCUUCAGCUCGAGGAAGAGGUUCACAUCGAGUGCUUUAGAGGGAAAACAUCAGAUGCAAGAUUUCUGCUAGAGCAAGUUUAAGAAUUUGUGGAAAAAAUGAAUUGGCUGUAUGUGAUACUGCUGAUGGUCUCCAGAAUAUCACUUCCGAAACCAAAGGCUCUUUCAAAUAUGCAUGAAAAUGUUUCCAGCUGUAGAACAAGCAAAGGCAGUGACAGAGCCUUUAUUUGAGAAAUAGGCACAAUAGGAAAAGAUAUCAGAAAGGAAUUAACUCACCCCUCCCGGUAACAGUUUGGAGAAAGGGACAAACUGAGGAAUGUGACCCUCCCCCGUUCGUACCAUCGCGCCGCCAGAGAGAAGGGUGGGGGCAAAGGGGGACCCGCGCAGACUCAGAUUGCACAGGAAGCAUUGCAGAGACAGAAGGGGUGGCUCCAGACCGCACCCCCCACCUCCCGCUCCAGGCACCCACAUACUCACGUAGCCCACCCAUUGGUUCAGGCUGUGACCUUGGAAUUCCACUACACCAGCCUUCUUCCGAAUUCCCAUCCAAACUGUUUAAAGAAUAGAGUUACAGAGUACUUGUGCUGAUUUUAUGUAUAAAACAUAUAUAUGUUCUACACAUAACUGCUAAAUGUAGGAUUAUAAAUUCAGUGCCAUUAAACAGAUUUGCUGCCUACUGCUUCUCUGUAAAUCAAGGCAUUUUUAUUAUUGUAAUAACUGUGGAUUUCUUGUGACAGUAACCUUUCAGAAAGUCAUCUUUCUUUAGGAAUAGGAUCCUAAUUACUGAAUUUCAAAGGAAGGAAGCAUUAGUGUUCUCAUCUGUAUAAAAGGUGGGCCUGAUAAGGAAAAAACAGAUUUGCUAAGGGUUGCUUAAGAGCUAGUAAUCUCCUAUGUGUGUAUCUUUUAAAUCUCUUUCUUACUUUACUUCUCAAGGUUGCAAAAAAUAAUGAAUGUUAAUAACCUGGAUUCUUUGAAAAAACAUGUUAAAUGUAAAUAAUUCUAAAGCUUUGUUUUGUGCAGAGUUUUUUUUCUGUGUCAUAUAUAGAAAAAUAGAAAUGCUUGUUUCAUUCACAAAAGGAUUCAGAUGAUACUUCCCUAUGUCAAUUUACAAGUAUAUAAGAUAAUAUUGAAGGGAGUGUAUAAAUAAGAGGGGGAAUGACUGUUUACAUGGG
RNA transcript from Gallus gallus (chicken), 2533 nucleotides. RefSeq lists it as uncharacterized. The transcript is spliced from 5 exons. NCBI's taxonomy places the organism in Eukaryota, Metazoa, Chordata, Aves, Galliformes, Phasianidae. The record is from RefSeq and is a predicted model, not a curated record.